GGAUUAGAUACCCGGGUAGUCCACGCCGUAAACGAUGGAUACUCGCUGCCGGCGAUACAAUGUCGGUGGCUUAGCGAAAGCGUUAAGUAUCCCACCUGGGGAGUACGCUCGCAAGAGUGAAACUCAAAAGAAUUGACGGGGGCCCGCACAAGUGGUGGAGCAUGUGGUUUAAUUCGAUGAUACGCGAGGAACCUUACCUAGGCUAGAAUGCGCGUGACCGGUUCAGAGAUGAACCUUUCCUUCGGGACACAAAGCAAGGUGCUGCAUGGCCGUCGUCAGCUCGUGCCGUGAGGUGUUGGGUUAAGUCCCGCAACGAGCG
Molecule: ribosomal RNA, 319 nt
Filed under: uncultured bacterium
Lineage: Bacteria
Description: bacterial SSU rRNA
Rfam family: Bacterial small subunit ribosomal RNA
Source: RNAcentral